CUCAGCUUAACUAUUAUCUUUAAUUUUGCUUUCUUUACAUUUUAAAGGAAACUUUAAAAUUAAAGCAAUUCAAGUAAAUGCUUUGUUGCAGGUAAUGAUUUGCAAGAGUGUAGUUGUAUAGAAAAUGAUUUAUUUUGAAAGUAUAUUCAAUUUUUCAAAGUAAAUCAGAGAGGCAUACAUAUUUGGAACUUUUCUAGAGGGAACUAGGUGGUGCUGUUCUGUCAUCUUUGUGUCUUAGUGACUUCUUUGAUUCUUUUCUCAGUUCAUUAAACAUUUUUGUACAAUAGGUAAGGUAUAGUUUUGGUCUAUAGUGGCCUUAUUUUUGUUAACCAAUGAAGUUUAUAUUGAUCUUGAAU
RNAcentral lists this long non-coding RNA (356 nucleotides) under Bos taurus (domestic cattle). RNAcentral describes it as "long non-coding RNA NONBTAT000248". The record is from RNAcentral. Lineage: Eukaryota; Metazoa; Chordata; Mammalia; Artiodactyla; Bovidae.